Sapajus apella (tufted capuchin) is the source of this 109-nucleotide small nuclear RNA. NCBI's taxonomy places the organism in Eukaryota, Metazoa, Chordata, Mammalia, Primates, Cebidae. The record is from RefSeq and is a predicted model, not a curated record.
UUGUCCUCACUUCAACCACACAUAAACGAAAAUUGAAAUGAUACAGAGAAGAUUAGCAUGGCCCCUGCACAAGGAUGACAUGCAAAUUUGUGAAGUGUUUCAUAUUUUU